ACUUAAAUUGAAGAGUUUGAUCAUGGCUCAGAUUGAACGCUGGCGGCAGGCCUAACACAUGCAAGUCGAGCGGUAGCACAGAGAGCUUGCUCUCGGGUGACGAGCGGCGGACGGGUGAGUAAUGUCUGGGAAACUGCCUGAUGGAGGGGGAUAACUACUGGAAACGGUAGCUAAUACCGCAUAACGUCGCAAGACCAAAGUGGGGGACCUUCGGGCCUCAUGCCAUCAGAUGUGCCCAGAUGGGAUUAGCUAGUAGGUGAGGUAACGGCUCACCUAGGCGACGAUCCCUAGCUGGUCUGAGAGGAUGACCAGCCACACUGGAACUGAGACACGGUCCAGACUCCUACGGGAGGCAGCAGUGGGGAAUAUUGCACAAUGGGCGCAAGCCUGAUGCAGCCAUGCCGCGUGUGUGAAGAAGGCCUUCGGGUUGUAAAGCACUUUCAGCGGGGAGGAAGGCGUUAAGGUUAAUAACCUUGGCGAUUGACGUUACCCGCAGAAGAAGCACCGGCUAACUCCGUGCCAGCAGCCGCGGUAAUACGGAGGGUGCAAGCGUUAAUCGGAAUUACUGGGCGUAAAGCGCACGCAGGCGGUCUGUCAAGUCGGAUGUGAAAUCCCCGGGCUUAACCUGGGAACUGCAUUCGAAACUGGCAGGCUAGAGUCUUGUAGAGGGGGGUAGAAUUCCAGGUGUAGCGGUGAAAUGCGUAGAGAUCUGGAGGAAUACCGGUGGCGAAGGCGGCCCCCUGGACAAAGACUGACGCUCAGGUGCGAAAGCGUGGGGAGCAAACAGGAUUAGAUACCCUGGUAGUCCACGCCGUAAACGAUGUCGAUUUGGAGGUUGUGCCCUUGAGGCGUGGCUUCCGGAGCUAACGCGUUAAAUCGACCGCCUGGGGAGUACGGCCGCAAGGUUAAAACUCAAAUGAAUUGACGGGGGCCCGCACAAGCGGUGGAGCAUGUGGUUUAAUUCGAUGCAACGCGAAGAACCUUACCUGGUCUUGACAUCCACAGAACUUUCCAGAGAUGGAUUGGUGCCUUCGGGAACUGUGAGACAGGUGCUGCAUGGCUGUCGUCAGCUCGUGUUGUGAAAUGUUGGGUUAAGUCCCGCAACGAGCGCAACCCUUAUCCUUUGUUGCCAGCGGUUCGGCCGGGAACUCAAAGGAGACUGCCAGUGAUAAACUGGAGGAAGGUGGGGAUGACGUCAAGUCAUCAUGGCCCUUACGACCAGGGCUACACACGUGCUACAAUGGCAUAUACAAAGAGAAGCGACCUCGCGAGAGCAAGCGGACCUCAUAAAGUAUGUCGUAGUCCGGAUUGGAGUCUGCAACUCGACUCCAUGAAGUCGGAAUCGCUAGUAAUCGUAGAUCAGAAUGCUACGGUGAAUACGUUCCCGGGCCUUGUACACACCGCCCGUCACACCAUGGGAGUGGGUUGCAAAAGAAGUAGGUAGCUUAACCUUCGGGAGGGCGCUUACCACUUUGUGAUUCAUGACUGGGGUGAAGUCGUAACAAGGUAACCGUAGGGGAACCUGCGGUUGGAUCACCUCCUUACCUUAAAGAA
RNAcentral lists this ribosomal RNA (1554 nucleotides) under Klebsiella pneumoniae. RNAcentral's name for it is "bacterial SSU rRNA". It matches the Rfam family "Bacterial small subunit ribosomal RNA". Lineage: Bacteria; Pseudomonadati; Pseudomonadota; Gammaproteobacteria; Enterobacterales; Enterobacteriaceae. The record is from RNAcentral.